GUUAUUUAUGAAAUAUAAAAUCAACAUAUUCAUAGUAAAUUAUGAAAUAAUCAAGGCAGGUGCUAAAUAAUAUAUGUUGCAUGAUAAAUUGCAUCUUCAGUAUCCCCAGUGGUCCUAUUCCUGUCUACUCUGGGUUUAUCCAUGGGAUAUUCUCAUAAUCUUAAUUAUCUUCCCUUGAUCGAACCAAUAAAAAAAAGGUUACAAACCAGUCUUGGCCUCAUUGUUUACGUUCACAACCCUAUAUGACGGCUUGUUCGCUACAAUAUGAAAAAGGCUAAUAGAAAACAAAUGACAUGCACACAAAAUGUAUUUAACGAUUUUUUGGAUCGGUCGAUAAAAAUAGCACAAUCAUCAAGGGCAGAUAAUUAUAAUGCGUCUCUACCCCAUGGAUGAACCCAGUAGUUAGUGGAGUGGGACGGAAUUGGACCACUGGGAAUACCGAGCAUAGAUAAAAUUGUAAAACAUAAACAAACAAAAAAAAUACCACAAAUGUGCGUUGCGCAGUGGUUAAUGCAAUAUGCCCCCUGAAUCUCUGAACUGUCGUCUAGAUAACUUAUUUUAUUUAUUUAUUUAUUUAUUUAUUUAAAAAAAAAACAACCACGUCCAGUCUUUGCAUGGAGUUGCAACAUCUUUAAAUUGAUUGAAUCUUACAAACCCCCUUAUUUCUCAAAUACAAACGUUUGAAAUCUUUUUAAAUUGGCGGUUGGCUUCCCAAUUAAUAUUUGUUUUAAUUGAGUGACGUUACGGAGCGCUGAACAAUGGGUAUAUUAUUCAGGAAUAUCACAAGUACCAGAGCUUUAACAUUAAAUAUAUGGUUAUUUAACAUUUGAUAAACAGCUGAUAAAUAACAAUAAAUUAAACUGACUUACAUAGGCUGACACCCAAAUGUUGAUAAUAACAGCUAACCAAUGAAUACUUAAUUAGGAUAUUAAUAUUUUUUUCUGAGAUGAUUCCACAAGGCCAUACUGGGGAAUCCAUGAUCAACUCCAUGCCAUAAAAGCAUACUAUUUGAAUUUAAUUUGUAAACCAUCCAUAUUGCAUUAUCAAAAUUAGUUGACAGUCAAGAAGUUCAGCUCUGAACUAUUUGUUAAGCAUGUGAGUAGGUGGCACUAAAACCUACCCGAGGAGUUAUUUCCCCAUCUGAAAACUGUGUUGUUUUCAAAUCAUUAUAUUAUAUUUUUUUUUAUUUCUGAGAUCAUUCUAUCUAGACAUUCUGGUAUAAUCACAAGAAUUUGUGUCAUAAAUAGAUAAUUCAAUUUGCAAACAAUUCAUGGCGUUAUGAAAAUU
This is a long non-coding RNA of Patella vulgata (common limpet), 1287 nucleotides long. RefSeq lists it as uncharacterized. The transcript has 2 exons. The record is from RefSeq and is a predicted model, not a curated record. NCBI's taxonomy places the organism in Eukaryota, Metazoa, Mollusca, Gastropoda, Patellidae.